AUAAAAAAUGGGCCAUACCGUAAACAGUCGUCAUGAUUAGUCUUCUCUUCAACACUUUCCCCUCUCUUCUUUCAACUUUCCUGCAAUCAUUCCCACCCUUGUUUCUCUCUCUCUCUUCGGCUCUUUGGCAAAUUGCAUCUUCCAUCAUUAUUCAAACCCUAAAGUUCCGAAUUUUGCACGCAUAAAACGAUUUUCGAUCUCCUUGGGGAGAUUUGGUACAUUUUCACGGCUAUUUUGUUGUUAGAAAAGGAAAUUUAAAAUGCAUCACGCUCCGGCGACGGUUGAGGAGCAAUUGAUUUUGAAAGCUAUAAGAGAGGAGUGUCCAUGGGAGAAUCUGCCUAAAAGGCUGCAAUCUACUCUUGCUUCUAAAGAAGAAUGGCACAGGAGGGUGAUUGUACAUUGUAUAAAAAAAAGACUUCAAUGGAGUACAUGUUUUGCUCGCAAAGUAAUCAAAGAAAGUGAGUACUAUGAGGAGAUGAUGCGGUAUCUAAGAAGAAAUCUCGCGCUGUUCCCUUACCACCUCUCAGAAUAUGUAUGCCGAGUAAUGAGGAUCUCACCUUUUAGAUAUUACUGUGAUAUAAUAUUUGAGGUUAUGAAAAAUGAGCAACCUUAUGAUAGCAUUCCAAAUUUUACUGCAGCAGAUGCAUUGAGAAUCACAGGAAUAGGGAGGAAUGAAUUCAUUGAUAUCAUGAACAAAUGUAGAUCUAAGAAAUUCAUGUGGAAAAUUAAUAAGUCAAUUGCAAAAGAACUUUUACCGACGCAGCCAGUUGAUUUUCCAAUCGAACCUUGGUGGGGAGUUUGUCUAGUCAACUUCACUGUUGAAGAAUUUAAGAAACUUUCAGAAAAAGAAAUGGCAACAAUUGAUAAAGUUUGCAAGGAAGAAGCCAAUUCAUAUGUUCUUUUUGAUCCCGACGUUAUAAAGGGGCUAUAUCAGCGGGGUUUAAUAUAUUUUGAUGUCCCUGUCUAUCCAAAUGACCGUUUCAAAGUUUCCAGGCUGGAGGGUUUUGUUUCAAACAGGGAGCAGUCAUAUGAAGAUCCUAUUGAGGAGUUACUUUAUGCAGUUUUCGUUGUUUCAAGUGAGCAUGCAACUGUAGAAGAACUUUCCACCACAUUACAGGCUGAUCUCUUGCAGUUGCAAGCUGCCGCAUCUUUCUCAUGCCGAUUGGGAUGGGCUGAGAAAAUAAUUGACCCAGCAUCUGUUCUUCAGGAUGCUAGUCUCCAUGGAUCUCUUGUUCUUGGUGAUGACGAAGAUGGUUCUCGGGCUAGUGCUGGCUCAUCGAAAAUAUCAGUGGAUGGAGGCAGUGUUAAUCAGGAUUAUUCAGGGUCAGAAAGUAUAGCAGCUUCGAAUAGUGCCCGUGUUGCUUUUAUUGUUGAUGCUAAUAUAACUUCAUACCUCAUGAUGGGAUCUGUUUCACCAGGCUUAAAAUCGCAUGCUGUAACACUAUAUGAAGCAGGUAAGUUGGGUCAUGCAAGCAUUGCAGAACUUUGCAAGGAUCUGAGUACAUUAGAAGGAGCCAAAUUUGAGGGUGAAUUACAGGAAUUUGCAAAUCAUGCGUCUAGCCUCCGUUGUGUCCUAGAAUGUCUGCUUUCUGGUGGAGUUUCUGAUAGUGUUGAAGAGAUUGAAAAUGGAAGUAAGAUGGACAUAGUAUCCUCAGAAAGAAAUAAUGGUACCAUACCUGUUGAGACAGGCCUUGCUGACAAUGUUGAGGGUCUUAAUGGUGGUGAGUUCAUUACUUUAAAAUCUCAAAAUAAUACAACAGUUUCAGAAGCAUUGGAAGAUGUAGCCUCAGAAAAUGAAGCCUCCUCAAAUUUAACGUCUACAGUCAACUCUGAUGACACAAAAACUGUCACAGAAAAUCAUGAAAUCUUCACAGUCUCCUCUAAUGCUGUGGAUGAUACUAGUGAGGCCUUAAAGUUGGAAGCUAUUUUGGAGGAUAAUGAGAAAACAGUCCUGGAAAGUGGUUCUUCUAAAACUAAGAGGAGUUAUCGUUUGGAUCUUCUUCGCUGUGAAAGUUUGGCCAAUCUUCCACCUGCAACUUUGGAUAGAUUGUUUCAUCAAGACUACGAUAUUGUCUUAUCUAUGAUUCCUCUGCCUCCCUCCUCCAUUUUGCCUGGACCAACUGGUGCUGUGCACUUUGGACCUCCAUCUCAUUCAUCCAUGACACCUUGGAUGAAAUUGGUUUUGUACUCAGCUGUAGGCAGUGGACCUUUGUCUGUUGUACUUAUGAAGGGCCAAUAUCUACGUUUUCUUCCUGCACCCUUGGCUGGCUGUGAGAAAGCUCUUAUAUGGUCAUGGGAUGGGUCUACAGUUGGAGGGGUUGGGGGAAAGUUUGAAGGAAGUUUGGUGAAAGGAACUAUUCUUCUGCAUUGCCUUAAUUCACUUCUUAGGCAUUCUGCUGUACUUGUGCAGCCUCUCAGCAAGUAUGACCUAGAUGAAUCUGGGAAAAUUGUAACAAUUGAUGUCCCACUGCCAUUAAAGAACCAUGAUGGUUCAUUUGUGCAAGUGGGGGAAGAGUUAGGGUUAAGCAUUGAUGAAAGUGCAAGGUUGGAGUCGCUAGUAAGGGACAUAGUGUGUAGAAUUGAUUUGUGGACUAUUGGUUAUAUUCGCCUAUUGAGACUCUUUAUUGAGAGGGAUUCAGAUAACUUAGCACCUGAUGAUGAGAGAUAUGAAUGGGUCCCACUAAGUUUAGAAUUUGGUGUUCCUCUAUUCAGUCCGAAACUUUGCAAGAGUAUGUGCAAAAGGGUGAUAUAUUCACAAUUGCUUCAAACAGAGUCCUUUGAUGAAUACCAUGAAGCAAUGCAAGGGUUAAGGAGAAGGUUACGUGAUGUAUGUGCGGAGUACAGUGCCACUGGUCCUGCUGCAAAGCUUUUAUACCAGAAAGAGAAAUCAGAGGAUAAGUCUCGGAAACUCAUGACCUAUGCGAGUGGCAGAUGGAACCCUCUUGCGGAACCAUCUUCUCCCAUUGCUGGAGUUACUGCUGACCAGCAGAGAAAGAAACUUUCAUUAAGGCAGCGUUCAAGAAGAGAAGUUCUUAGCUUUGAUGGUAGUAUUCUUAGAUCAUAUGCUUUGAGUCCUGUGUAUGAGGCUGCCACAAGGCCAAUUGAUGAAUCAGCUCCAACAUCAAUACCAAAAGGUGAAUCAGAUGAUGCUGACAGUAAAGAUUUGGUCCUGCCAGGUGUAACUCUCCUGUUCGAUGGAGCAGAGCUGGAACCUUUUGAGAUAGGUGCUUGUCUCCAGGCUCGACAACCGAUUGCUUUAAUCUCAGAGGCCUCAUCAGCAACCUCUGCGCUGGCAGCUAAAUAGGCUGCACGGGUCGUUUCUUCUGUCAUCAUUUAUAAGAUAUUACCAUCUGUAUACUGCAUUCUGGUUUGUUUCGCCAUGAAUCAGCACCCUGGUUGUUGUCUUCUCCUCUUCAUCUUGGAGGUCAUUCAAUAUCUAUUGUCUGCAUUAUCAUAAGGUGAAGCAGGGUGGCUUGUACGCUGUGCAUGCUGCUGAAGUAAACUACAACAGACGUGAACGUGUUUUUAACUAGAAAAAGAUUUUGCUUUUUGAAAUUCUUUUUGGGUUUCCUCUUGGAAUGUAGUAUAAUUUGGGAGAUAAAAGGUCUUAUUGUAAAGCCUGAUGUCCUUGCCUUUGAGCAAUUUCCUCCUCAUGGGAUAUGGAUAAGAAACCUCGAGGAGGAUCCAAUUAAAUAAACAAAUAGUAGUAAUUUAAAUGUAAUUGGUUUUUUGAUUCGAUAGUUCAUUUUUUGCUUUCCCAAACGUGUGUCAAUGUGAUCUUCAAAAUAAGACAUGAAUAAGACAUUUUUUUUAAGAAUAUUUAUAUUUUUUUUCGCUUUUUCUUAA
This is an RNA transcript of Amaranthus tricolor (Joseph's coat), 3846 nucleotides long. RefSeq lists it as uncharacterized. The transcript is spliced from 12 exons. NCBI's taxonomy places the organism in Eukaryota, Viridiplantae, Streptophyta, Magnoliopsida, Caryophyllales, Amaranthaceae. The record is from RefSeq and is a predicted model, not a curated record.